Non-coding RNA from Capsicum annuum, 104 nucleotides. Lineage: Eukaryota; Viridiplantae; Streptophyta; Magnoliopsida; Solanales; Solanaceae. The record is from Rfam.
UUGUCUGCGGUGAUGAAGCAAUUUGUGGACUAGAGUUUCUGAUCCUUGGGGGAUUCAAACCUCUGAUUGGUUGAAGACAAACCCUUGGCUGUCUGAGCACACUC